RNAcentral lists this ribosomal RNA (495 nucleotides) under uncultured bacterium. RNAcentral describes it as "partial 16S ribosomal RNA". It matches the Rfam family "Bacterial small subunit ribosomal RNA", at positions 30 to 507 of the family's 1533-position model. The record is from RNAcentral.
UGAACGCUGGCGGCGUACCUAAUACAUGCAAGUCGAGCGAACGGACGAGAAGCUUGCUUCUCUGAUGUUAGCGGCGGACGGGUGAGUAACACGUGGAUAACCUACCUAUAAGACUGGGAUAACUUCGGGAAACCGGAGCUAAUACCGGAUAAUAUUUUGAACCGCAUGGUUCAAAAGUGAAAGACGGUCUUGCUGUCACUUAUAGAUGGAUCCGCGCUGCAUUAGCUAGUUGGUAAGGUAACGGCUUACCAAGGCAACGAUGCAUAGCCGACCUGAGAGGGUGAUCGGCCACACUGGAACUGAGACACGGUCCAGACUCCUACGGGAGGCAGCAGUAGGGAAUCUUCCGCAAUGGGCGAAAGCCUGACGGAGCAACGCCGCGUGAGUGAUGAAGGUCUUCGGAUCGUAAAACUCUGUUAUUAGGGAAGAACAUAUGUGUAAGUAACUGUGCACAUCUUGACGGUACCUAAUCAGAAAGCCACGGCUAACUACGUG